UCAUAUGCUUGUCUAAAAGAUUAAGCCAUGCAAGUGCGAGUGAUUCGGUGCAUCCAUCAGUAAAAUGAGGGAAGGCGCUCAGGAUGACUGCGAAAGGCUCAUUAAAACAGUUAUUGGAUCUGGAUGGUCAGAAGAAGACAAGAAGGAUAAGGGUGUGAAAAUAGAGCUAAAACGAGGGAGGGGGAUCUCGAUCAAAGAGUGCGUAAAAACCACUUGAAUGAAGAAGGGAUUUCUAGAAUUUCAUAGAGAUAUGAGAGGGAGCAUGUGAAUAUUUGACCUAUCAACUGGGGAUGGUAGUAUAGGGGACUACGAUGGUGGUGACGGGUGACGGAGGAUCAGGGUUUGGUACCGGAGAGGGGGCCUGAGAGAUGGCCACCACUUCUAAGGAAGGCAGCAGGCGCGAAAAUUACCCAAUGUUGGAACAGUGAGGUAGUGACAAGGAAUAACUGUGAAGAGUGUAUUUUGCACUUUUCGUGGUAAUGGAAGGAGGAUAGAGAGGUUCUUGAGUAACGAUCAGAGGGAAAGUCUGGUGCCAGCAGCCGCGGUAAUUCCAGCUCUGAAAGCGUAUACUAGAGUUGUUGCGGUUAAAAAGCUCGUAGUUGGGAGAAGGAGACAUUGAGAAAAAUAGAGUGUUUAAGGGUGAAGUGGGAGAGCACAGGACGUCCUGAGGAGAGAAUCGAUGAGAGUCGACACUUUCCAGGGAGAGAAUAGAAACAAUAGAGGAUAUUAGUAUUUUAUAGUUAGAGGUGAAAUUCUAUGAUUUAUGAAAGACUAACAGGGGCGAAAGCAUUUAUCUCUUGUAUGUUUAUUGAUAAAGAACGAAAGUUAGGGGAUCGAAGAUGAUUAGAUACCGUCGUAGUCCUAGACUAUAAACAAUACUAACUAUGGAUUUGGGGGGCCGAAAGUGAUUCAUUCAUCACUUAGAGGGCGCGUGAGGACAUUGCGAGAAAUCAUUGAGUAUUUGAGUUCCGGGGGGAGUAUGGUUGCAAGACUGAAACUUAAAGGAAUUGACGGAGGGGCACCGCAAGGCGUGGAGCUUGCGGCUUAAUUUGACUCAACACGGAGAAACUUACCAGACCAAGACAUCAUUGAGGAUUGACAGACGAGGAGGUUUUUCGAGAUAGGAUGGGAGGUGGUGCAUGGCCGUUCUUAGUUGGUGGAGUGAUUUGUCAGGUUAAUUCCGAUAACGAACGAGAUUUUAGUGGAAGAGACGAAGAACUGAACGCAUAAUUCGAUUCUUUGGUUAUUUCAGAUGGAUAGGAAAAUAAACUAUAGGAAGAUUAAAGUGAUAACAGGUCUGUGAUGCCCUUAGAUGGUUUGGGCUGCACGCGUGCUACAAUGAUAGAGACAGAGAUCCACUGAGAGAGAGAACAUCUUUCUUGGAUUGACGCAUCGAAGGAUGGGUUGAAAGGAUGGAGAAUCUAUCAUGUUAGGGGAUUAACGAUUGGAAUUAUUCGUUAUGAACACGGAAUGCCUAGUAAGUAUAAGUCAACAGGUUAUAUUGAUUAGGUCCCUGCCUCUUGUACACACCGCCCGUCGCUGCUACCGAUUGAAUAGUAAAUGUGAAAUGGGAGGACUGGCCACUCUUGUUUAUUCAGGAGAGGAAAGGAAAACUAUUGAAUGUUUAUAUUUAGAGGAAGCAAAAGUCGUAACAAGGUUUCC
RNAcentral lists this ribosomal RNA (1662 nucleotides) under Ripella decalvata. RNAcentral describes it as "bacterial SSU rRNA". It matches the Rfam family "Eukaryotic small subunit ribosomal RNA". Lineage: Eukaryota; Discosea; Flabellinia; Vannellidae. The record is from RNAcentral.